Camelus dromedarius (Arabian camel) is the source of this 109-nucleotide small nuclear RNA. The record is from Ensembl. Lineage: Eukaryota; Metazoa; Chordata; Mammalia; Artiodactyla; Camelidae.
GCGCUUGCUGCCACAGCACAUCGACUAACACGGGAACCAUCCAGAGAAGAUCAGCACGGCCCCUGAACGUGGACGACACACGCACAUACGUGAAGAGUUCCGUAGCUUU